Molecule: ribosomal RNA, 608 nt
Filed under: uncultured soil bacterium
Lineage: Bacteria
Description: bacterial SSU rRNA
Rfam family: Bacterial small subunit ribosomal RNA
Source: RNAcentral
GCCCUAAAUAUGUCAACUGGUUGUCGGGGNAAGCAAUUCCUUGGUAACGAAGCUAACGCGUGAAGUUGACCGCCUGGGGAGUACGGCCGCAAGGUUAAAACUCAAAGGAAUUGACGGGGACCCGCACAAGCGGUGGAUUAUGUGGAUUAAUUCGAUGCAACGCGAAAAACCUUACCUACCCUUGACAUGCCAGGAACCUCGCAGAGAUGUGAGGGUGCCCGAAAGGGAACCUGGACACAGGCGCUGCAUGGCUGUCGUCAGCUCGUGUCGUGAGAUGUUGGGUUAAGUCCCGCAACGAGCGCAACCCUUGCCAUUAGUUGCCACAUUCAGUUGGGCACUCUAAUGGGACUGCCGGUGACAAACCGGAGGAAGGUGGGGAUGACGUCAAGUCCUCAUGGCCCUUAUGGGUAGGGCUUCACACGUAAUACAAUGGCCGGUACAGAGGGCAGCCAACCCGCGAGGGGGAGCUAAUCCCAGAAAGCCGGUCGUAGUCCGGAUUGCAGUCUGCAACUCGACUGCAUGAAGCCGGAAUCGCUAGUAAUCGCGGAUCAGCAUGUCGCGGUGAAUACUUCCCGGGUCUUGUACACACCGCCCGUCACACCAUGGGA